GAGGAUGAGACAAACGAUAGACUUUUUAAUAUCUUUGAAGACAGAGAGGAUGGUCGGAUGACUGAAGUCGAUCUUAAGGUUCUUGAUUUAAACGGACGAUAAUACAGUUGGAGAUGAGCGAUUUUCCUUGGUUUUUUGGCGAAGCAAGCAAUGGUUUUUACACCUUUCCCAAUUGCUGUUCCUUCUUCGACAAUCAUCUUAUUGCUAACGACAGUUCUUUUCCGUCUUCGGUUGUUUUAUUCGUCAAGUUUUCUUUUUUUUUUUAUUUUGGUGCCUUUUUAUCUCUGUCUUUCUUUAUUCGACUUCUAUAAUCUGAGCUUGAAGAAUGUCGAGAAAGUUCUCACGGAACCUUUUAUACAAUAUCGUUUAUCUGUCACAUUUUCACCUUAAGACAGACGAUUGCCAGUUUUUUCGAACAUUAGAUUUAACGCGACACCUGUGUUUAUCAUUUCCUUGAUUUAAUACAAUCGGGGACAAGAGUCCACGAGGCGGGUU
This 495-nucleotide long non-coding RNA is filed under the name Androctonus crassicauda. The record is from RNAcentral. Lineage: Eukaryota; Metazoa; Arthropoda; Arachnida; Scorpiones; Buthidae.